AUGUUGCCAUGGUUUCUUACUUUCUAUUUUGCCAUGAAAAUUUUGAUCUUCCUAACACUUUACCCUUUUUCAAAUAUGGCAAUCUUUGACUUGUAUCAUGGUAAAUUUACUUUUCAUAGCCGUGCUAAAUCUAAUUUAAUUGCCAUGGCAAUUUUACAUUUACGCACAUGGCAAAUUUAUUUUUACACACAUGGCAAAUUUACAUUUACAACAAUGACAUUUUUACUUCCCUUUUUUUGCCAUGGCAAAUUUUACCUUUUCAAAUUUGCCAUGGCAAAUUUACUUUUCCAUACAUGGCAAAUUUACACUUACUCCCUCCGUAAAGAAAUAUAA
Molecule: ribosomal RNA, 333 nt
Filed under: Triticum aestivum (bread wheat)
Lineage: Eukaryota; Viridiplantae; Streptophyta; Magnoliopsida; Poales; Poaceae
Description: partial small subunit ribosomal RNA
Source: RNAcentral